This 36600-nucleotide long non-coding RNA is filed under the name Daucus carota (carrot). RNAcentral's name for it is "long non-coding RNA (DCAR_LNC003779)". Lineage: Eukaryota; Viridiplantae; Streptophyta; Magnoliopsida; Apiales; Apiaceae. The record is from RNAcentral.
UACAAUUUACCAGAGAAUUGAAAAAGAUCCAGUCUUGGAGCUGCGAAUAGUCUGCCAGUGGAUUCUGACCCAGACCUAGCACUUCAAGAUUAGGAAGGCUAUCCCAGUUGAUUGGUAUAGGUCCAGUAAUACUGUUUGCCGAGAUGUCAAGGUUAACAAGAUUGGACGCAUUAACUAUUGACGGUGGAAGUGGCCCUGAGAACAGGUUACCUUCGCCAUAAAAGCCUUGCAACUUCGGAAGGGUGAAGCCUAAAUCUGAUGGAAGUGUCCCUUCUAAUACAUUCUGGUUUAGACCAACAACAUAGAGCGACGAACUGUUGUAAAGUGAAGGCGGAACCAGACCUCCCAAACCGUUUACUCCUAAAUUAAGAAACUGUAAACUUGUGUGAUGUGCAAGUUCCAAAGGUAUGCCCCCAACUAAAUUGUUAUAGGCUAGAUCAAGAAAAAGAAGGGAUGAUACAUUACCUAUCGAAGGUGGAAUUGAGCCUGUGAAAUGAUUGACUCGAGCAUCAAACCGGUCAAGCUUAGACCAAGAGGAAAACUCGGUGGGUAGUUUUCCUUCAAGUUCAUUGUUACUCAUACUAAGUUUUCUAAUAUCUGUACAAUAACUCAAAUUGGCUGGGAAUCCACCUGUGAAAUAAUUCUGUCUCAAAUUAAGAUACUGGAGGCGAAACAAUAGGCCAAUUUCAUUUGGAAUCGAGCCAUGAAAGUUGUUCUGGUAGACGUAAAGUCCUCUGAGAAACGAAAGAUUACCAAUAUGUGGAGACAAUCUGCCCCCCAAUUGUUGGUCGGAGAUAUUUAGUUUUAUUACUCUCUCCCGUCUGCUGCUGCACGUAACGCCCCUCCACUGACAGAAGUGCAUCGAAGUGUUCCAUGAGUCCAGGGCACCCGACGGAUCAUCUACAGAAGCCUUAAAAGAAAGCAAGGCCUGCUGAUCAGUGUCGUUGCUUCGAAAAGCAAAUACAAAUAUUUUCGGUGUUGCUGAUACUAGUAAACAGGAAAUGAUAAACGGGAAGAUCAUGGUUGUAGAAUAAAACAGAGCAAUGAAGUAUUGCUACUGAAAGUACUAUGGACAUAAAUACAACAUUCAUGAUGUCUUUCCAACGACUUUGUAGGCCAAGUCGUGUUCAAAGAUCAUCAGCACAUAUUAAAUGGCGAUUAUGAUCUGCCAAAGAAGACUAAAUAUAAAACUAUAAUAGAAGUGCUUGUCAAGACUGUUUCUUGUAUACCAUAAGCACUCAUUCUUAUAUCUAUGCUAGCUCAUUAUACUUUCUAAUUUAGUUGUUCAACUUUUAAGGGGUAGAUUAGUGAGACGUUUUGCAAUGAGAUAUAAGUUUUAUGGGUAAGAUGUAUGAAGAAGGGUAUGAUCAUGAAUUUUAUUUCUCAUAUUUUUAUAUUUAGUUAAGUAAUUAAAUACAAUGUUUAACACAAAAUUUUAUAAUGAUGCAAAAUUAUAUUGUAAUAAUAAUUUUAUUAAUAUAUUUAAUUAAUUCUUGAAAAUUGAAUAUAUUGAUUUGAGAACUCAACCAAUUUUAUGAUAUCAACUACUCAUACCAUCUUAGCCGGAUACCGUACGACACCUAUGGUUAGGUAAUUAAAUUAAGGCUCUGCAUUUUAAUAUAUAAUUAGAAAUAAGAAAGAAAUAUUAUAUCACUAAAUACUAUAUAUACUCUAUUUUGAUAUCUCAUUUUAAAAUUAAUUGUAAAUUUUAAUAUGUGAUAUAAAGUUGGUUAAAAUGACCACUUUAAAGUGGACAACUAUUAUUAGAGUAUAUUAGUAUGAAGGGUUCUAUUAAAUAGAAAAUCAUAUAUUAUUAUAAUUAUCUCGUUAAAAAAUAUUUUAACUAGAAUGAUCAAAAUUUUCAAAUUUUAUAGGGAUUUUAAUUAUAUCAAAAAAGUUGUGCUAAUUUUUGACGAGUAUGUGUUUUAGAAAUAGUUACGUACAUGAAAGUUAAUCUUAGUCCGUUUUCAUAUUUUAAGUUUACUCCACCUAUAUUAUCAUAAACUUAAUCAUUUUUAUUUCGUGGAAUCAUCACAUACUUUAAAAAAGUUUCAAGUUAAAUUAUUAGUUGCUAUAUGAUUUAUUGCACUGAUUUAAACUCCAUAUAUUAUUAGAUGACAUUCUCAUAUAACAAUUAACAAGUAUCCUUAACAUAUAUAGGACAUGAAUGCAUUUUGCUAGGGGAGACUGAAAAUGUCAAAAGACCAAGUCCUUUCUCACAAAAACACAGAUCUGAUCCCUAGUUAGAAAGCAUUCAAAAGCUACUAUGGAGUCAUCUCGCUGUCAUCAAGACAAACAGAAAAAUACAAUUCAAACCAGCUACGGGUGAGUCAUCUCGCAUUGGAGAAAACUGUUAAAACAUCUAGCAGUCGUCAAGACUACUGCAUAAUUAACCCCAGCAGAUUUUAGUGUGCCAGGUCCCCAAGAUAACUGCAUGAUCCUUGACUUUACUGACAAUAGAGCAUCCACAGGGAAUGUUCGUUCCUUGCCGUCCAGCAUGGCUGCACAGAUAGAAGUCAAACUCAGUGGGAUAUGUAUGAUCAUACAACUGUCCCUCGCACUACAUUCCUUGGUGAGUUGCAGAGUACAUAUGCUUGUGACACUGAUUCCAGCACGCAACUGAUGCCUUUUCUUUAGUACAUUUUUGGAGUAUUUUCUUCAUUAUUUGCUGAAAUUAUGCCAUAUAUAUUUGAAUUCAGAGGAUGUCCACAAUAACAUCUGAAAUAAAACUUUAUAUUAAUCGAAAUAUAUAGUGCAGUCAAAGAUACUAUUGUUCCUAUGAUGCCAAACAUAAGAUAACUAGGCAUCCAAUUACACGAGGAACUGGGUGCAAUUAAAUGAGUGAUAUAGAUUUUCAUAUAUAGCGUUAUUUAAGUGAAAUUUCACUAUUUAAGAAUAACAAAAUUAGUGUCGUAUUUCAGUAUGUUAAAAAGUAUUAGUGAGAUUAAUAGGUAAUUAAUUUUACUAAAUGUAAAUAUUAAUAAAAAAUUUCAAAUAUUAAAUCCUUACCAAUUUUUUUUUAAAUAUUGUACAAAUUUUACAUUCUUAAUUAACUAGUUAGAUUUUCUCUUACAAAAUUGUCGCAUUUUUAAAAUCACAUAGGAAUCUAGAAUCAUAUACGAACAAACGCCCCUAAUUAUCGUGAUCUAGGUAUCUGCUUGUAUCUAAAAUUUUAUAAUCACACAAAAUCCUUAUAAUUAAAAAGGGUAAAAAGUACAAACCAGAUCUGCUUGUAUCUAAAAUUUUAUAAUCACACAAAAUCCUUAUAAUUAAAAAGGGUAAAAAGUACAAACUGCUUGUAUCUAAAAUUUUAUAUCACACAAGAUCUUUAUAAUUAAAAGUGGUAAAAAGUACAAACCAGAUAUGCUUGUAUCCGUUUGGGAUCUAAAAUUUUAUAAUCACACAAGAUCCUUAUAAUUAAAAGUAGUAAAAAGUACAAACCAGAUCUGUUUGUAUCUGUUUGGGAUCUGAUGGCGCAGGUGCUUGUUGGUAUGAAUUUACUUUGAGCAUCAUAAUAAACGCCCCUAAUUAUCGUGAUUUAGGUAUUUGCUUGUAUCUAAAAUUUUAUAAUCACAGAAAAUCCUUAUAAUUAAAAGUGUUAAAAGGUACAAACCAGAUCUGCUUGUAUCUAUUUUAUAAUCACAGANAACAAACGCCCCCUAAUUAUCGUGAUUUAGGUAUAUGCUUGUAUCUAAAAUUUUAUAAUCACAGAAAAUCCUUAUAAUUAAAAGUGGUAAAAAGUACAAACCAGAUCUGCUUGUAUCUGUUUGGGAUCUGAUGGCGCAUGUGCUUGUUUGUAUGAAUUUACUUUGAGCAUCACAACAAACCCCCUAAUUAUCGUGAUCUAGGUAUGGAAGACAAGUCUUUUUCUUCUUUGUUGCGAUUCAAACAUAAAUAUAUUUAUGUGUGUGUGUGUGUAUAUUCACAAAUGAUAUAACAAAAAUAUCUAGUACAUAUACUAAAGAAUGUUAAUUUAAAGAAAUAAACAACUCUUAUUAAGUUGGAAUUGCAAAGAAAAAUUUACUUCUUCGUAUUCAUUAUAUGGUGGCUGUAUGGAGAAAAUUGUGAAGGUUAUACCUCUCAGGUAAAACCUAUACUCUAUAUAUAGCACAUCAAUAUAUCUAGAAUGUUCCUCAAUUUGGGCUUUGGUCACAACUAGUGGGCCUGGAUUUGCCAUUUAAGGAUAUUCCAGAAAUUCAUAACAUUUUUAAUUUUGAACUAUUAUUUACUUUAAUUCAUUUUAUAAUAUUUUUUUAAGAUUUGAGGUUCUUCUCUCAUUUUGUGUAACAUUUUAGAUUGACUUGGGCUUGAGAUAUUAUGGGCCUUCUUUUUUGGAUCUUAACUAGUUAAACAAGUAACUUGGAAUUUUAACCUGUUAAAGAUAGUUUAAAUAAGUGAAAUGCUUUACUUUAUAAUCACAGAAAAUCCUUAUAAUUAAAAGUGGUAAAAAGUACAAACCAGAUCUGCUUGUAUCUGUUUGGGAUCUGAUGGCGCAGGUGCUUGUUUGUAUGAAAUUAUUUUGAGCAUCACAACAAACCCCCUAAUUAUCGUGAUCUAGGUAUGGAAGACAAGUCUUUUUCUUCUUUUUUGCGAUUCAAACAUAAAUAUAUUUAUGUGUGUGUGUGUGUAUAUAUAUUCACAAAUGAUAUAACAAAAAAAUCUAGUACAUAUACUAAAGAAUGUUGAUUUAAAUAAAUAAGCAACUCUUAUUAAGUUGGAAUUGCAAAGAAAAAUUUACUUCUUCGUAUUCAUUAUAUGGUGGCUGUAUGGAGAAAAUUGUGAAGGUUAUACCUCUCAUGUAAAACCUAUACUCUAUAUAUAGCACAUCAAUAUAUCUAGAAUGUUCCUCAAUUUGGGCUUUGGUCACAACUAGUGGGCCUGGAUUUGCCAUUUAAGGAUAUUCCAGAAAUUCAUAACAUUUUUAAUUUUGAACUAUUAUUUACUUUAAUUCAUUUUAUAAUAUUUUUUUAAGAUUUGAGGUUCUUCUCUCAUUUUGUGUAACAUUUUAGACUGACUUGGGCUUGAGAUAUUAUGGGCCUUCUUUUUUGGAUCUUAACUAGUUAAACAAGUAACUUGGAACUUUAACCUGUUAAAGAUAGUUUAAAUAAGUGAAAUGCUUUACUUUCAUUUUCCACUUCCAAUAAAUAUAUAAAAUUUAAAUAUAUACUUUUCUCCAUCUUUCAACUCACUAGCUACGACAUCCCCUCAUCCCCAUCCACUUAUCUACUCCAUCAUCAUCUUUCUUUUUCUCGAUUCAUCGAAACUGUUUCCUUCAUCCCGACGACCUCUCCAUGUAUANUUUACUUUGAGCAUCACAACAAACCCCCUAAUUAUCACGAUCUAGGUAUGGAAGACAAGUCUUUUUCUUCUUUGUUGCGAUUCAANUGUGCUUGUUUGUAUGAAUUUACUUUGAGCAUCACAACAAACCCCCUAAUUAUCGUGAUCUAGGUAUGGAAGACAAGUCUUUUUCUUCUUUGUUGCGAUUCAAACAUAAAUAUAUUUAUGUGUGUGUGUGUGUAUAUUCACAAAUGAUAUAACAAAAAUAUCUAGUACAUAUACUAAAGAAUGUUAAUUUAAAGAAAUAAACAACUCUUAUUAAGUUGGAAUUGCAAAGAAAAAUUUACUUCUUCGUAUUCAUUAUAUGGUGGCUGUAUGGAGAAAAUUGUGAAGGUUAUACCUCUCAGGUAAAACCUAUACUCUAUAUAUAGCACAUCAAUAUAUCUAGAAUGUUCCUCAAUUUGGGCUUUGGUCACAACUAGUGGGCCUGGAUUUGCCAUUUAAGGAUAUUCCAGAAAUUCAUAACAUUUUUAAUUUUGAACUAUUAUUUACUUUAAUUCAUUUUAUAAUAUUUUUUUAAGAUUUGAGGUUCUUCUCUCAUUUUGUGUAACAUUUUAGACUGACUUGGGCUUGAGAUAUUAUGGGCCUUCUUUUUUGGAUCUUAACUAGUUAAACAAGUAACUUGGAACUUUAACCUGUUAAAGAUAGUUUAAAUAAGUGAAAUGCUUUACUUUCAUUUUCCACUUCCAAUAAAUAUAUAAAAUUUAAAUAUAUACUUUUCUCCAUCUUUCAACUCACUAGCUACGACAUCCCCUCAUCCCCAUCCACUUAUCUACUCCAUCAUCAUCUUUCUUUUUCUCGAUUCAUCGAAACUGUUUCCUUCAUCCCGACGACCUCUCCAUGUAUAUUUUCUUCCCCCAUCUUCUUACAUCUCUCUCUUCGUCGAUAUGAUUCAAAUACAAAAUACUCAUACAUCUUAUAGUUUUGUCAUAUCUUCGGUAAAAUGGAAAUGGUAAUAUGAGAUGUGAGCCGCUCGGAUCCGUAAUAAAAGACGAUGGUAGUUAAAUCGUUUGUGGAAGAGAGAGAAACUACUGUGGUAGGUGAACUACGUGUGGAGGAGAUAAAAAUCGUUGUUGUAAUUAAGUCACUAGCGUAGGAGAGAGGUCAUGUCGUGGUAGUUGGAUAGGGGGAAGAAAUUAAGAGAAGGCACUUAAAGCGGAAGAAACUCCUGCAAAAUUUUAUGAUUUAUAUCAUAAAAGUUAGUGAUGUGCCUAAUACAUGUUACUGAUUUCUUUGGUGCAUAUUGGUGUUAUAGAUUAAAUUUGAUAAUUUAUCAAAAAUAAUAGAACAAAAUCAAGUGAAUUUUUGAUCUCCAUGUUACUUGCGGAAAGAUGAGAUAAUAAUAGAGAUAUGAAGUGGUUCUCACUAUAAUUAUACAGAUAACAUUGAUAAUAUUGUAUAUAGCUAAUAUAUAAAUAUGUUAUGAGAAUCAAAAGGAUUUCAUUAGAGUAAGACUAUUAAAUAUUUGAUAUAUUUUUUCGUUAUACUUAGUUAUAAUUUUUAACAUACAAUUAGAUCUAAAUAUAUUCAAACAUGCAAUGCGAUAAUUUAUUUAUAAAAAUCAAUUUUUCUUCAUCUUAUAUAAUAAGUACGGCAUUACAAGUUAUUUUGCAUGGUAACUAGAUGACAUUAAUAUUUAUAAAUCAUCAUGUGUUAUUUUUAUUAAAUAAUUUCAAUAAGUGUAAGGAAAUGUUUCCUUACUAAAAACAUCUUUAUUAAAAAUAUGAGAGCACAAAUUAUUUUAAAGAACAAUUUUUUCAUAUUUUUCAUCAUCUUUGAGAAUAUGAAAAAUUAGUUAAAUAAAAUAAUUAUAUAAAACUAGUAAUUAAAUGACGGUAGAGUUAAGUUCUAUGGAGUACACAAAAAUAUUAGAAUAUUAGAGUACAAGUCAUAAUUUUUUAGUUUAAUCAAAAAUAAUUUUUUUGAUUAUUCAAAUUUGUAUAUAAUUUAUCAUUUAUAAGCUGUCUUAAUCAUAAUUAUCAAUUAAUCAAUAAUAUCUUUCAACUUUAACAAGUAUUAAGAUUCUUGUUCUGCUUAUUAGUUAUAUUGCAGAACAUGGGGCCUCUGAUUUAUAAAAGUAAUUGUUCUACGUUUUGAUUACAAUGUUUAUGUUGUAGAACAUAAUCUGCAGGUUGUAGAAUGUUUACAAAUAUUGUAGAACAAAAAAAAAUUAAAUUUAGAUGACUAGAUUAUAUUUUAUCCAAUUUUGUACUACAAUACUCGAAUGUUUUUGUGUACUCCAUAGAACUUAACUAUAUAUACAUAUAUAUAUAUAUAUAUAUGUAUUUAUAUAUUAUUGAUCAAUUCCAUAAAAUAUACUCCCUCCAUCCCAUUUUAAGUGUCCACUUUGCCAAAAAAAAAAACUUCCCAAAAUAUGUGUCAUACUCUUUAACCCAUGUAAAAUUUAUACUAUUUCCGCUAUAGUAUUAAAUACAACCACCAAGCCCCUCAUAAAUAUAUUCAUGGGAUUAUGAAUUUAUAGUGUAAUUGAAGUGAAGAAAGGUCCAACAAAGAGCAAUUAAUGAGGUGCAUCACUAAUAUUUAUGAAAACUGAGCUCAUUAGUUGUGGGAAUAUAAUGAUCAAAAUAUUACAUUAAUUGUUUCUUAAUAUGUGUGAAAUUUGCAAAGUGGACACUGGAGUAUUCUUCUAGAUUUCUACUUACCAUCCUCCCCUUGGUUUCUCCGCCGGAAAAUGCUUGGUGCACAAUUGUGUACAAAAUUUUAUGUACAUAAUGACAUGUGUUGGGUUUUAAUUGGAAUGGGCCCGCGGUAUUUACAUCAACCACCCAAUUAAAACCCACCACAUUCAUUGCCACAUUAUUAUGUACAAAAAUUUUGUACACAAUUUUGUGCACCUAGCACUACUCUUUCUCCGCCUCCCUACCCUUGGUUUCUCCGCCUCCCUAUCUUUCCUCGUUUUGUACGUCUUCCCUCGUUUUGUCCGUCUCCUUAUAUUUCCUCGGUUUCAUCGCCUCCCCUUGAUUUCUCCCCUAUAUAUAAACUUUCACACAUACACACACACUUAUAAUCAAAAGAAGAAUGGGCAUGAGCACUAAAGCGUGCCUGUAAAUAGGUGAGCAUUGAAAUGAUUUGGCGGUUAAAUUUUAAAAAUGGAGAUCGAUCGAUGUAUGCAUAUGUGUUUCCCUUGAUAAAAGUUGGUGCCAUGUAAGUAGAAGAGUUUUAAUUUAAUAUUACGUGGAUUUAACUUCACCAUUUUGAUUUGAUGGGUAUUCUUUAUUUAAUCUUCUACUCAAAUUUUUUAGGGUAUUCGAGGUUGUUCUAGGUACAUUACUACAAUCCUUAGAAGGCAAAUGAAGCCCCUUACACCAGCAGGUGAAACUGGUACUCUUGUGGGGAGUACUAGGCCUAGAAGGCAAAGGGGUAGCCUCUGGCUGAAGAAGAGCCAGGCAUUGAUGUGGACAGAUCUCAAGGUGUCCUUAGACCUGGAGAGAGAGCCAUUCCAGACACACAACCUCGGACAGGACAUCACCUCUCUGCUUAUGCUAGAGCAGGAUAUUGAUAUUUGUUAAUAUUCUUCUUUUCCAUAUGAUCAGCUUCCAUUUUUAUAAUCAUUGGUAUUGUAUAGUAGGAACCUAUACAAAAAAUCUUAAUUGUCCAAUAGAAUAUUUGUCCAGCAUUGCUAGGUUAAUUGAUGGGGUCUUUAGAUUUCUUGUUGGUCGAAUUACAGUUUUCAUAUGCUUUAAACUGUGAACUAUCAGUUUAAAAUGAAUUUUAGUUCUUUUAUUAUUAUUAUUAAAUUUGUGGUUUUGGUUGAAAUCUGUUUAGUAUAUAUAUAUAAUUGAGUGGCUAAUAUUAUGUCUCAAUGGAUUAUUAUAGGUGAUGUGAAGAUAUAUGGGUUCGUGGAAGUAACUUUGGAUGAUGAUAUAUAGGAUGAGAGGAGGUGUCUGAAGUGGUGGUAGAGUAACAAACCAAAAAGGACAAUGCAAACGCAAAAAAUUCAUUACUUGUUCUAAAAUUAAAAACAAUUUAGUGACAUGUAAUUUUGUAUCCAUCAAAUAGAUGUUUUUAUUAUUAAAAUAGGUUUCUUAUCUAUGACUUUAUCAGUAAAUUGCAUCUAAUGAGUCUAUCAACGGUGAACAUGCAUCUCUAAUGAUGGAAUGAAUCGUCAAAACAUUACAAAUUUAAUAUGUAAACAUUUUAAAUAUCUUUACCCUUUAAAGACCCAGUCUUAGUUUUGUGUGCAUUCCAUUUUUACAUAGUAAAUGAAUAUGAAUACAUUCUGCUUAUAAGCUGUUUCUUUGUAAAUGAUUUUCUACAUGAAAAAAUAAUGUUUCUUGAAUGUGCAUAUAUUAUGUAAGCGCUUUACGAUUGUUAGAUUUCUUUGUUAGAUAUGCAAUAAUCAAUCCCGCCUUUUAUGGUAAAGACAUAAGUUAAUUAAAUCAACUUAUCUCUACGAGAAUGCUCACUAUUAACUAUAGAAAGAGCAAUGAUGAUGUUUUGGAUCCACUAAUCAUCUAGCUAACCAAAAGAAUUCUUUUAAACUUAGAAAAUCAGGUUAAAUAUAGUGAUAACUAUAAAGAUAUGAAGAGCUAUGGGCUUAACCUAUUGGUUAACAUCGUUUUGGUAUACACUUAAUUUUAUUGACUAGAAAUUCUAAAAACUUGAUUGAAUGGGCCAACUAAAUCAUGAUAUAUUCAUAUCACUAAUAAGUCUAUAAGAUAAAGUCAAUGAAAAAUUAUAAUGACAAUUCUUUAUAAACUCUAUAGCAUGUAUUAUGGUCCAUGACUAUAUACACAUAUUCAUGAAAAGUACUGAAUGAGCGAGUAUAGAUAUAAUGAUGAAGAUCAUUUACCAAAUAGUCAAAGAAUUCAAGUACAUCACGUCUAUAUCUAUGUGUAAAGUUGGUAUAUAUACUUACUCCAUCAAAGGUUCAAGAAGCAUUUCUUAUCAAUCAUAUACUAUUUCUGGCCACUGGGACUAAUACCAAGUCAAAGCUAUUGGAGCAUCAAUCUCGUUUGUGAGGGAUUUGUGAAAUUUUUUAGUGUAUAUAUAUAUAUAUAAUACUAAUGUUCCGAUGUUGACCGUUAGUAGUACUUAAUUAUCUUACAACUUCAGUCUCUUUUUUUAAAUAGAGUCUUGGGUCAUUAAUUUUAUUAAGUCGAAAACUUUAUAUAUAGUCAACUCUGUUAUUUGAUCUCCUUAGUUUAAAUCCUUCAUACAUCUCGUUGCUAAUUCAGUUAUAGUAAGAAGUUAUAGUAAAACCUGUUGGGUUUUUAUUUAAUCUAAACUUUUGUUAUUUAUUUGUUAAAUAAAUUGUACCUGUUAGGUGCGUGUAAAUAGCAACAAGAAUAGGCCUAUUAGCAGUUGAGAAGUUUUAGGAGCUGCAUGGAGUAGUUGAUAUUGAUAGAGUAGUGGAGUUAUAUCAGGAACUGCUUCCUUGAUAACAGCUACCACAUUAGUUGUUUGUUCUAUUUAUAUCUUGCAUGUACACACUUUCAGAAGAGACACAACACAAGCUAAUACAAUGUAGUUUUAGAGAGUAUUUCGGGAUUGUACAUACACAUCUCUUCUAUCUUUAUCAUUCUGCAGUUAUAAUUCUUGUAGUAGUUUAAUUUCAACAAAACCAUGUCAGGGAGAGCAACCACGGUUUCUAAAAUCAUUGCACACCCAUCCAUACCGUAUGUAUGAUAUUAUAAUAAAAAACCGGGCUUGUGGUGAGAAAAAUUACAAAAACUAGUAGCUCAAAUAGGGUAACAACCAAAAUACUAGAAUUCCCCUUAUAAUAAUCUUAAGAAUCACUUAAUUACUCAUAACACAUGAAGCAGUCGAAUACUAAUCCAGAGGUAUAUAACUAAAGUUCUCUUUCAAGAUCAAUAGUCUAUUAACUAAAAUUUUUAGCUUACUCUUCUAAGGUGGGGAUCAUGAUCAUUUUUAUGAAUUGAUAUAGAAAGGCUGAAAUAAAAUUUCAAUAAUCACGUAGACUAAAAAAGAAGAAUGAUAUUAAUGAAAUAAUAGACUAUCUAUCUUAUUAGGAAUAAAUGAAACAAGUAUUUGAAAAAAAUACAUAAUUUAGCAUUAAAUAGAUAAAAUAAUGAUUCAGAUUUUAAAUAGUUUAUGAAAUCCACCAAAUGAAAACGUACAAGUUAAUUGUUGCAUUAUAUAAAUACAAUCUACUUGCAGCUUAAUGUGAUAGUAUGAGUAAAACUUGUAACUUACACUAAUUAAAUUAUUAAUUGUUGUAUCAUGUUUUUUUUGAAAGUGAAUUGUUGUAUCAUGUUGAAACUUAAUAUGUUAAAAAUGAUUUAUUAAUGUCACUUCAAAUUAUAAUGUGUAUAAGAUGUUGGGUUUGUCUACACUCAUUAUUAGAAGUGAGAAGGAAAAAUCAAGAGAAAAAAAUUUAGAAGAAGGCUCGCAAUAUGUCUCGAGAAAUAAGUAGAAAUUGGAGUUUAUAAUGACAAAGAAAUAUGUGUGUCAUAUGUUAGUUCCCUUUUGAAUUCUUUUCGAUUUACGAGCACAAUUAAUCUAUUCCCCCUAAAUAUAAUUAUCAAUAUAAAUUUACUAAUUUUAAUAAAUAUUAAAUGAUGAGUUGCGUAAUUGUUAUACAAGUUGAAAGUUGAACCGGUAUAUUAAUAAUAAAAACUUUUUGAAGAUAAAUUGACACAAAAAAUAAACCGUUCAUUAUGGCAUUACGUGAAAAUCAUUGAUCAUAUAUGUGUGUAUGUUGUGUAUAUAUGUAUGUCUAUACUUAUAUGUGAGAGAUAUGUUAUAUAUUAAAUAGUAAUUUGUGAUGUAUAAACUAGUUAGUGAUUAAAAAUUGGUGAGGGACUGAUUUUUAAUUUGUAGGCUAGUUUGUAUAGGCCGCAGCCUCGGUGGCCACAGUGGUGGGCUAUGGCACCAAAAGGGUGGGGCUGACAGUAUAUGUGGGUUGGUUUGGUGGGAGUGGAUGUGGAUAAGUGACAGUAUAUGAGUGUAGGUGAGGAAGUGGCUGGUUAUGAAAGAAAUUUUUGGUUUUUAUUCAAUUUUAUUUUUAUUAUAUAUAUAUAUAUAUAUAUAUUAAAUAUUUGAUAUGUUGGGUUUUUAUUUAAUCUAAACUUUUGUUAUUUAUUUGUUAAAUAAAUUGUACCUGUUAGGUGCGUGUAAAUAGCAACAAGAAUAGGCCUAUUAGCAGUUGAGAAGUUUUAGGAGCUGCAUGGAGUAGUUGAUAUUGAUAGAGUAGUGGAGUUAUAUCAGGAACUGCUUCCUUGAUAACAGCUACCACAUUAGUUGUUUGUUCUAUUUAUAUCUUGCAUGUACACACUUUCAGAAGAGACACAACACAAGCUAAUACAAUGUAGUUUUAGAGAGUAUUUCGGGAUUGUACAUACACAUCUCUUCUAUCUUUAUCAUUCUGCAGUUAUAAUUCUUGUAGUAGUUUAAUUUCAACAAAACCAUGUCAGGGAGAGCAACCACGGUUUCUAAAAUCAUUGCACACCCAUCCAUACCGUAUGUAUGAUAUUAUAAUAAAAAACCGGGCUUGUGGUGAGAAAAAUUACAAAAACUAGUAGCUCAAAUAGGGUAACAACCAAAAUACUAGAAUUCCCCUUAUAAUAAUCUUAAGAAUCACUUAAUUACUCAUAACACAUGAAGCAGUCGAAUACUAAUCCAGAGGUAUAUAACUAAAGUUCUCUUUCAAGAUCAAUAGUCUAUUAACUAAAAUUUUUAGCUUACUCUUCUAAGGUGGGGAUCAUGAUCAUUUUUAUGAAUUGAUAUAGAAAGGCUGAAAUAAAAUUUCAAUAAUCACGUAGACUAAAAAAGAAGAAUGAUAUUAAUGAAAUAAUAGACUAUCUAUCUUAUUAGGAAUAAAUGAAACAAGUAUUUGAAAAAAAUACAUAAUUUAGCAUUAAAUAGAUAAAAUAAUGAUUCAGAUUUUAAAUAGUUUAUGAAAUCCACCAAAUGAAAACGUACAAGUUAAUUGUUGCAUUAUAUAAAUACAAUCUACUUGCAGCUUAAUGUGAUAGUAUGAGUAAAACUUGUAACUUACACUAAUUAAAUUAUUAAUUGUUGUAUCAUGUUUUUUUUGAAAGUGAAUUGUUGUAUCAUGUUGAAACUUAAUAUGUUAAAAAUGAUUUAUUAAUGUCACUUCAAAUUAUAAUGUGUAUAAGAUGUUGGGUUUGUCUACACUCAUUAUUAGAAGUGAGAAGGAAAAAUCAAGAGAAAAAAAUUUAGAAGAAGGCUCGCAAUAUGUCUCGAGAAAUAAGUAGAAAUUGGAGUUUAUAAUGACAAAGAAAUAUGUGUGUCAUAUGUUAGUUCCCUUUUGAAUUCUUUUCGAUUUACGAGCACAAUUAAUCUAUUCCCCCUAAAUAUAAUUAUCAAUAUAAAUUUACUAAUUUUAAUAAAUAUUAAAUGAUGAGUUGCGUAAUUGUUAUACAAGUUGAAAGUUGAACCGGUAUAUUAAUAAUAAAAUUUUUUUGAAGAUAAAUUGACACAAAAAAUAAACCGUUCAUUAUGGCAUUACGUGAAAAUCAUUGAUCAUAUAUGUGUGUAUGUUGUGUAUAUAUGUAUGUCUAUACUUAUAUGUGAGAGAUAUGUUAUAUAUUAAAUAGUAAUUUGUGAUGUAUAAACUAGUUAGUGAUUAAAAAUUGGUGAGGGACUGAUUUUUAAUUUGUAGGCUAGUUUGUAUAGGCCGCAGCCUCGGUGGCCACAGUGGUGGGCUAUGGCACCAAAAGGGUGGGGCUGACAGUAUAUGUGGGUUGGUUUGGUGGGAGUGGAUGUGGAUAAGUGACAGUAUAUGAGUGUAGGUGAGGAAGUGGCUGGUUAUGAAAGAAAUUUUUGGUUUUUAUUCAAUUUUAUUUUUAUUAUAUAUAUAUAUAUAUAUAUAUUAAAUAUUUGAUAUAUUUUUUCAAAAUAAAUAUUUAUAAAUUUAACAUAUAAUUAGAUUUAAAAUUUUCAAACAUGUGAUGCCAUAAUUUAUUUUAGAAAAAUCUAUUUUCCUUCAUCUUACAUUUUAAAGAAAGUUAUUUUGCUUGCUAACUAGAUAAAAUUUGUAUUUAUAUAUAAUAAUAUGUUAUUUUUUUAUUGGCAUGUGUAAAUAAUUUUAGUAAGUGUAAAUAAAUGUUUCCUUAUUAAAAAAACCCCUACACUAAGAAGUAUGAGAGCACAAAUUAUAAUAAAGAAAUUAUUUUAUAUUUUUUUUAUCUUUGAAAAUACAAUAAAUUAUUCAAAUAAAAUAAUUAUACAAGCAAACUGAUUAAAUGAGGGUAAUUGUCAAGAAAUUAUUGAUUAAGAUAAAUGAUAAUGUAUAGAGUUCAAGAAGUAUUUGUUGAAUGUGGAUAUAUUAUAUUGAUCAAUUUGAUAAAAUAUACUAUUCCCCACAUUUUGUUAAAUAUAAUAUAAUUUUGGCUAUAAAAUAAAAGAAGUGUGUGGGUGAUUCUAGAUUAUUCUUAGUACAUGCAUUUGUUUUUAAUUUUGAAUGCAUGUAUUAGUCCAGAUGCAUAAUCUCUAGAAUAUUCCCGUCUUUUGCUUUCUAGCAUUUAAUUAGUCUCUAGAUCUUUCUAUUGAGUCCUAUAUAAAGCCUCUUGUACCAAAUCAUUUGUCAUCAACUAAGGUAAAGCAAUUCAUUAUAUAUAAAUUUCUCUUUUCCUAAAUAUCUGAGUUGUGGGAGUUUUAGUGAAAACCUUUCUUCCUCCAUCCAACACAUUUUUAGCCCACAUCCCGGUUCUAAGUCUAUUCUAGUUUUGUCCUUCUCCUUAGAUUUCCUCGAUUUCUUCACCUCCCCUUGGUUUCUCCGCUAUAAAAUUUUACACACACAUAUAUAUAUAUAUAUAUAGUCUUAGAAGAAUGGCUAUGAUCACUAAAGCUAGCGUGGCUGUUAAUAAGUGAGAACUGAAAUGAUUUGCCGAUUAAAUUUAAUUAGCAAUGGUGAUCUAUGUAUGCCUAUGUGUUUAAUUCCCUUGAUAAAAGAUGGUGUCAUGUAAGUUCAAGAGUUCUAAUUUAAUUGUGAGGAUAAUAUUAUCUAUCCAUUUUGAUUUGAUGGGUAAUCUUUAUUUAAUCUUCUUUUAUUUAUAAAUUAUAGGGUUUUGGCAUUCGAGAUUGUUCUUGGUACAUUUGUAAAAGCCCCAGAAGGAAGCCUGUUACACCGGCAGGCGAAGCUGGUACACUCGGGGGAAAAAAUUGAUGGAUUAUUGUUGACUAAAUGAUGUUUGAUGGAUUAUUCUAUUAUUGAGCUAGGCUCCUUGCCGAGUACUUGGGGAAAAAGGUAAUGCUGGCACUUGUUUGCCAGACUUUUGACGGGGUUAAAGCUCUGGAGGCGUAUGAUGAAGGUGGUGUUAUAAAUAGAAAUUCUGGUCUUCAUGGAAUUGUAUCCUGGGUCACGACCUCUGGCCAUGGCCUUAGAGAGACUCUCUUCUAUCUUCUAUUCUCGCUCCUGCAAGUUUAUAGAACUAUGAAAUAUAUGUAUAAGGCCCUCCCAUUCAUAAAAGAUGGAGCUGUAUCUUUUGGAUGGUGGAAUAAUGAGAUCAAAAUUUCCUCUUAGCAGCAUAGCCAUUGUGACAACUUUAAUUGUACAUUCACAUUUCUUCUGUUGCAACCGUACAAUUUCUUGCAACAAGUUUAUAUGAUUAGCAAAGAAUUCUUUAAUAGAAGAGUAUGUUAUUAUUUGUUAGUAUGAUAUAUAUUACUCAUAUAAUAAAUAUGCAAAUAAGGCACUCGGAUAUGAAAGUAUUAAUUCAAUAACAAAAUUAAAACGUCAAACUAAAAUUAAAUGAAUAAAAGAGAAGGAAAAUUCUUGUGAAACAAACACCAACGAAUGAGUUUGAUUCUUUUCUUUCCUUUGUCGGUUAUGGGCGAUGUUUUAGUAAAUUGCAUGUGAUAUACAAAUAGCAUAAAACAAAAUUUUGUGCUAAUUUUUUUUUUAAUUUUUAGACCACUAUUAAAUCUAUCAACAAUAAACGGCCACCAUAUCUGUAUGUAUUUUGUUUCUAAUAUAUAGUAUUAAAAAAUGUAAAUUGGAAUCUUAUAGAAGCUAACAAUAAAAAUUUUUAUUUGGUUUCACGAUCAAAAUAAUAUAAGUAAAAUAAUUCAAGAUCAUUCAUUAACUUUCUCCUAAUUUUAAUUUGUGAAUUUUAUUUGAUUUUCAAGCAUAAACAAACCAUCCCUACAUAUAAUAAUCAUUAUAAAUUUACUAAUUCUAAUAAAUUUUUGAAUGAUAAGUUUGUAAAUUAUUUUGUUAUACUAAUCGAGACUUGAACUAUUAUAUUAAUACUAAAAAGCUUUAGAGAAGACAAAUUGACUCAAAAUAAUAUAUUAAUUUGUGAAAUUUUUUCUCACUAUAAAAUUUGUUCAUAUUAAUAAGUAAUAAUGUGCUUCUUACAUAUUUAUUAGCUAAUUAAUAAUUUAAUUAUAAUAAGAUGAAAUAUAUUUUACUCGAAUAACAGAUCAUUUUGUGUUCUCUUAAAAAAGAUUGUGUCCAAAAUUUUAUUUAUUCAAAUUAUUAUAAAUAUGAUAAAUUUGAUUAAUUGUUACACAUUUAUCAAUAAAAUUUAUUUUAAUGUUGUGUUUAUCAUAAAUAUUGAUCAUGUACAAAUUAAGUUCAAAAGUUAAGAUACAUAUUUUACGUUCUCAAACAAUGAGUAUUCAUUUUGCAUUAAAUGAGAAACUCAAGUUAAACAAUUUGCAUUAGGUAAAUCACAAUUUACAUAAGGAGGAUCUUCGGAUAGGUAUAUUGCAUUUCACUCAAAUAUAUUGGGCAUGUUAAAUUUGGCUUUGUAAUGAGUUCUACAUUUCCCUAUUUCUUUAAACUGCACCAACAACAAACCAACAACAGAACAAAGAAGAAAAGGAAACCAGAUCUGCAGCAGAUCAGGUGACAGAGUUUGGAGGGCAUGGUAUAGUCUUCCUAAUGAACUCCUCUUUUUUGGGGAAUCAUAAGCCUAAAAAAAGGCCUUAUGAGCACUAACCUUUUUCCCCUCAAAACAAAGAUUUAGUAAUGUAACAAGAACAACCCCAAUAAUACCUGUCAGACAAACGAUUAAUUGGAAGCCAUUAGGAUUUUAAAAACAUAAUUAAUUACUUGUAUUCAAUUUGGAGGCAAACACUAACCACAGUUACACAAACACAAGCAUCAAUUUCUUCCGGGUCUGAAUUUCCAGAUGGAUCAGCAUUGCUACAAUGAUCUGAUCCACAACUCUGGAUUAAAGUACUAUGAUUUUGAUGGGUCAGUAUCAUAUACAGAGCGAAAAUCAGAAAAUAGUACUCUACAUGUUAGGAACACAUGAAAGAGCACAUCUGAGCUUGCUCUGCCAAGUGAAGAGUAAAUCUGAUGAGCCCUAAAUAUAGGACUUGGCAACGGAGAUCCCAAGGGGGCACAAUCAUAAAAAAGUGAAAUUUAUUAUCGGUUUUAAUUUAUAACUGCCAACUUCUUUUUGAUAGAAAACUAUUAGCUGAGAUAUACAUUCUUUUUGUCUUUAUGUUAAGAGUGAGGCUCUUACAUUUAAUUCUCUUUAUUAUGGGGGUCGGGCCUACAGGCUGCACCUAGUCACGUUUAUUCUCUAUCACUCUCAUUUGUUUACGAAUAGCAUGUGCACCGAAAUAAAGAUAUCGUUUGGCUGGUGUGUGUCCAUGAGCACAUGCUAAACUCUAAUUUUGAUGUAUUAGCUUGUUUUGAUUGAUAGAGCUUUUGUAUAUGUAAGGGGUCCACCAUUAUUAAUAAGUAGUACUAGGCACUCAAAAUGAGUUAAAUACAUGAAUUAAUUUGGUGUUUAACAUGUGUCAUGGGCAUAUUUAAUGUAUAAAGUGAGUAUAGUAGAGUAAAUUAGUGGAUAUAGUAAUUUUCAUAUGGGUCUUUCUAGUAUGUGCCUACAUGGAGGAUUUUUAUUGGUGGGGAUUUUUGUGCAUGUAGUGGGGCGAUCAUUAUUUAUAAUGAGAUUAGAGCUAAUAGAAAUCAUUCACCAAAAUAAAAAGUAAAGUAGUUGUUAGUGUAUGCUCAUGGACAAAAUGAUGAUGACUAGCUAGUGACUAGUGUGUCCCCCAUGAGAUUAAACAUAAUUAUCAAUUAGUUAUUAAUAUAUUUCAAUUUUUAAGAUUAUUGUUCUGAUGAGUUAUAAUGGAGACCAUAUUGUCCUAUGAUUUAUAAAAGUAAUUGUUCUAUCUUUUGAUUACAAUGUUUAUGUUGUUGAAUAUAAUCUGCAGGUUGUUGAAUGUGUACAAAUAUUCUAGAAUAACAAAAACUAAAAUUUAAAUGACUAGAUUAUAUUUUAACCAAUUUUGUACUCCACUACUCUAAUAUGUUUGUGUACUCCAUAAAACUUGACUCAUAUAUAACUAAUGAUAAUAAUUUGAAUAUAAUAUGAAAGGGAAUAGACUAAAUUGAAUAAUAUAAUUAUAGAUAUGAGCCUUACAUAUAUUACCACUAGGGUCAUUCUACUGACCAAAACUUUCAAUUGGCCUCCCGAGUCAAAAAAAGUUUUCAUUUAAAUAAUAAACCAUCUAAAAACUUUUAAUCACGAAAUUAAGUUAUAAAAAAAAAUCAGCGCCGUUAAGUCUUUGACUUUUAACGGAAAACCUUAAAUAUAACGGAUUUGCAUGUUUUUAACAGAUUAUAUGUUUUUAAGGCAGAGUUUACUUCGGCCCUUCACCAGUUCCCCGUGUACUGCUAUUAUCAAUGCUGCUAGAUACAGUAAAGACAAGUCUGCAAGUUUUGGAAGGAGAGGGGCGACCUACAAUUGGACAAACUGUAAAGAAUUAGCUGGUGAAGGAAGGCGGAUUGGGUGCUUGUUAUAGAUGUUUGGGGCCGAGGUGGGCUUCGAUGCCUCUUUCCGCAACCACCAUGCAUGAUCACUACUUGUGAGUUUCUAAAGAAAAUGUCUACGAAGGAUCAAGAGGUGUUUGCUUAACUAAAUUUUGGCGGGGAAGAUACGAAAGGGAAAAAAUUUAGAAUGUUGCAAAUCAUCUACACACUUGUAUAACUUGGUUUCUUGUCAUGUGUUGAUGACCUUCCUCUAUGAAUACCGAUGUAAGUUGUACUUAAGGUUUACUUUUAAUGAAUAAGAAUAACAUGAAAAUCAAAUUACAAUAUUGUCCAACAUUGUACAAGUAGUUCAGCCUUGGUCAGGCUGUUUGUUGUAUAUGAAUGAUAUAUAUACAUUGUUGAAGUGUGUAAAUGUGUAGGUUCUAGGGGACAUCUACUACCUGGUAUAUACAAGAGUCGGAUUCAGGGUACAAAUGUUGAGUAAUAUGACUCUAUUUGGUUUUAAGAGGCAAAUGCUCCUGUUAAGUUUUUAAUGGAAUGACCUAUUUGAAAAUUUUUAAUAAUACAAUUAGUUGACUCAAAAAAAUUUUGACUCGGUAGGCCAGGCUCAGUAGAGUGAUGAAAUAGAGCAUUAACCCUAUUACCACUAGACUAUAAAGUAAUGUCCUAAUGUUCUGUAAUGUCAGAAAGGCUGACACAUAUCUAAAGUAAAAUGUGUCUCAAAAUGGUGCUUAACACAUAUCUAAAACAAAAUAGCAUGUGUGUCACUCCACCUACUCUUAAGGUCGGAAUAUAUGAACCUAAAAUUUACAAAACUUAAAUUUAACAAGCUAACUUCUUUUAAAAUUGGCAAGAAUCUUACUCAUGAGAUACCUACUGUCUUUUUGAAGCUUAACAAGUUAACUAAAAUUCUUAGCUUACUCAUAAAAGGUAAGAUCUGGUCAUAUUUCUAACUUGAUUUUCUUUUUCCGGAAAGACAAAAAAGAAGGGAAUGAUAUCUAUGAAAUACUAGAUUGUCUAAUUAGGACUAAACAGAACGAGUUCUUACAUAGUGUAAUACUGAAUAGAUAGAUAGUAAUUCAAAUUUCAAAUAGUUUAUGCAGUCCAUCAAAUAAAAACAUUGGAGUGAAUGAAUAUUGGGGAGAAAAAGAAAUUUAAGUUAGAAAGCGUAUUUGUUAAUUGUUGCAUUUUAUAAAUACUAUUUAUAACUUGUAGCUUAAUCUGACUGUAUGAAUAAACCUUGAUGCUUAACUUAAUCUAACCACCCCAUUAGUAUUUGCAUCAUGUUUUAGUUGCAGGAGCUCCCGCAUGCACCUCCUCUAUGUUAUUAGAAACAAAAACAUUUUCUUAAUGUCACUUUGAACGAUAAUGUUUAUAAGAUGAUGGGUUUGCCUACACAGAAGUAAGAUGAAGAAAGUGAAGGAAAAGAAAAAGUUCGAGAGGAAGGCUCGGAAGUAUCCUGAGGAAGAUGUAGACGUUGGAGUUCAUAGUAGAAAAAGAACGAGAAAGAAUAAUUUGCAACCUAACGUAUCUCGCCGAUAAGAGUACAUAAUCACGAACAAAAAAUUGUAGUUAGUAGAACAAAAGCAUUACAAAUUCAACAGAAACAUAGACAUUUAUUUCUUAUUAAUUCAAAUAGCUGUUAAUUUUUAUAAGUUAAUCUAAUUUUAAAUUAUUGAUACUGAUAUUAAACUGAGAAUAUAUGUACACUUGAGAGCCCUAAAAAGCAUUAAAGAUGAAGCUUCGCGGUGGACCAACAACUCGUUCACGAUCCAAUACUGUAAGUAACUGCCCGCGAGAAGGAAGAAACAAACUCAAUUCUCGUUUAGACCCCUGCACCAGUGAAGUUGCUACAGAGUGAAUGACUAUGAUCAAUGGCUGCUUAAUUAUUUGACCAUGCCGUCAAAAGAAAUUAGAUGCUCAGAAGAAAGCUAUAUAUAACUGCUGGUCCAAGUCAAACUGCAAAUGAGCCGGCUGAUGGAGAGAAUGACUUGCCUAAUUGGAGAUGCAGUUGAAAAGAUUAGGCCAUGUUGACUUGUAGAAAGGUUUUCCAAUUUAAGUGUUCAAAUUGCCUUGGUUUUCUAUUUCGUAAAUGUAGAGAUAGAAUGGUAUACAUAUUCAAAUUGGUUAGAUUUCCGUGUAUGGCUGAGCUUUAUAACCUGAUUUUAUGAUUUAAAGUGAUAGAUUAGCGAUGUAAAGUGUGGGUUUGGAUAAUUUUGACUUUGACUCGUGAGUUAUUAAAAAUAUGAUAAUAAAAAUAAAAAUGAUUUACGGAUAACAUAUAUCUUUUUUAUCAAAAUUUUUUUUAACAAUUAACUCGCCUUAAAAUGUACCUCAAACUAAUUAUACCAAGUCCUUAGCUAAUUUCAUUGUUAAAAUCAAGUAGGAUAAGUUAUGUAUUUGAAUUAUGAUAUUAAUUUUUAUUGUAUAAACUCAUAUAAAUAAAAUAAGUUGUUAGAAAUAUCUCUUAUCAACGCUAAGGAGGCCUUUCAGAAUUAAAACCCAUGCCUUUUCCCAAAUCCAAACUAACUCCUGCUCUACCUAUGUUCGCCACCACCAAGGUAGAUAAGGUCAGGGAAUAUGCACAUGUUAAUUACUGUUAAUUUAAUGAAUAGUUUCGCGUUCUUUUAGAAUUAAAUUGGUAUAUAUAGCAUAAUUAAGGGUAUCAAUGUCAGUUAGAUGAUCAGAAGCAUGUUUUGGUUGAAUUUUUUAAUCUUUUUAGUACUAAAUUUGAAUAAAUUAAAUAUAACUUCUAUCCAUAUAAGGCAUAUCGAUGUUACAUGUGCUUUUUUUUUUUUUCAGGGUUUCCAAGCACUCCGGAGCGCAUGGAUAUAAGAACAGCUUAUUUUUUAUGAUAUUCAAGAUUAUUAAUGUUACAAUAAUAUUUUAUUUUGUAAAUAAGUGAAUAAUUACAUUUUAAUUUUUUUUAGCAUUUUCUAAUAAUAAUUAUAUAGAUAUGCGAAUAUUUUUAUAUAUAAUAAAUACAGAUAUUUUUUAGUCAAUUAUGACGAUGAGAAAGGACAAAACAGUAAACUUAUACUAAGUAGGAUAAGCCAUCUCGAAAAAUAUACACCAGAUAAUUUAUAUUUAUAAAUCAUCAUGUGUUAUUUUUAUUAUUUGUAUUAAAUAAUUUCAAUAAGUGUAAGGAAAUGUUUCCUAACUAAAAACCUCUUUAUUAAAAAAUAUGAGAGCACAAAUUAUUUAAAAGAACAAUUUUUUCAUAUUUUUCAUCAUCUUUGAAAAUAUGAAAAAUUAGUUAAAUAAAAUAAUUAUAUAAAUGUAGUAAUUAAAUGACGGUAAUUGUUAGGGAUUUUUUUUCAAAAAUGAUAAUGUAUAAGGAGCUCAAGAAGUAAUUUUUGAAUAUAAAUUUGUUAUAUUAAUCAAUUCCAUAAAAUAUAAUUCUUCUAGAUUUCUACUUGCCAUUAUCCCCUUGGUUUCUACUUGCCAUUAUCCCCUUGGUUUCUCCGCCUCCCUGUCCUUGGUUUCUCUGCCUCCCUAUCUUUCCUUGUUUUUUAGGUCUUCCCUCGUUUUGUCCGCCUCCUUAUAUUUCCUCAGUUUCUUCGCCUCCCCUUGGUUUCUCUCCUGUAUAUAAAUUUUCACACUCAGACACACACUUAUAAUCAUAAGAAGAAUGUGCAUGAGCACUAAAGCGUGCCUGUAAAUAGGUUAGCAUUGAAAUGAUUUGGCGAUUAAAUUUUAACAAUGGAGAUCGAUGUAUGCAUAUGUGUUCCCCUUGAUAAAAGUUGGUGCCAUGUAAGUAGAAUAUAUAGUUCUGAUUUAAUUAUUACGUGGAUGUUAUUUCACCAUUUUGAUUUGAUGGGUAUUCUUUAUUUAAUCUUCUACUCAAAAUUUUUAGGGUAUUCGAGGUUGUUCUUGGUACAUUACUACAAUCGUUAGAAGGCAAAUGAAGCCCCUUACCCCAGCAGGCCAACCUGGUACACUUGUGGGGAGUACUAGGCCCAGAAGGCAAAGGGGUAGCCUCUGGCUGAAGAAGAGCCAGGCAUUGAUGUGGACACAUCUCAAGGUGUCCUCAGACCUGGAGAGAGAGCCAUUCCAGACACACAACCUCGGCCAGGACAUCACCUCUCUGCUUAUGCUAGAGCCAGAAGGUAGUUGUGACGCCCCCGGCCCGUGAUGACUUCAGCAACCCGGCCCGGGGGGGCCAUUCUACUGAACACACUGAAAUGUAACUUUGUAAUCUCAAACUUAAUAUAAUUUAGAGUGAUUGACACUUUGCACCUCUUAUGUUUAAGCGCUUUUUCGAUUUCGUCUCAAACAAUUUUUUUUUGGCAGAAUGCAUCCUAAAAUUUAAAAAGCGCUUCGCUUUGCACCCCUUUGACCACCCUCCGUUUAAUUGACCGUUAAAGUUAACAGAUAUCAGAUUUUCACUUUGCACCCCACAGUUUUAAUUUUUUUUCAGAAAAAAAUUGUUUGAGAACUUUAGGCUAUGACAAUUACAGUGAAAUGUUAAAGUUGAGUCUUGGCAACAUCAAGUGCGUUAAGCACUUCCUGCUGCCGAACCAUGGCUAGCUUGACUGAUUACUUGGAUACCUGGCUUUGCUGCAAUAUUAAGACACAAUUCAAACCCAAGUUAAUUUAACUAAUUUAUAUAUAUGCAGUCACUUUGCAUGCAUGCAUUAUGAUAUGCAUGACUACAUGAGAUGAGACUAAUGAUAACAUAUUACAUCGAGAAGUAAAUAUACAGGGCAAAUAAGAGAGAUUAACUAAAUAAUGCAAUUAGUCUGGGGAAUAAGUGGUUAACCGGUUUAAUUAGUAAUGCUCCUCUAUCCAACUCUUAGCUUGCACAACUCCAGAAUUUUAAAAAAAUACGAUAGGUUUAUAGAAGAAUUAUAUCUGGCUCAUCAAAACCGAGGCCUGUAAUUCGAGUUAGGCCGCUCGCGAGCAGCUCAAACUCGAUCUCGUUUAAUAAGACUCAAACCGACUCGAUCUUGUAUACUUAGUUAAAACUAGUAUCAUAUGGGAGUAGAAAAGUCUACCCAAUUAACUCAGAAAGAAAUGAUUUGAGAACAACAGCAUCCAUGUCAGCUCUGAUCUUUUACGUAAAUCCCAGCAGACAAGAACUCAACUAAUACAAUUACUAAGGUCAGCUUCAGCACUUCUACCACUUCUACCAGGUUGUUCGCCCAAAUCUCAAUUGCCACUUGAAACCUAAUUUGUUUCUUUUUUACAGAAGAACAGAAACAAAGUGAGUCUAAAAUGUAUUAACAUUUGAGUUUGAUCUUUAAAAUUCUAUUAAAAUUAGAAAUAAACUCGAGUUUCACACAAAUAUAUUUCUUACCAUAUGUUGUAAUGUAGGAACAGCUUCAUCAGUUGGCAUAUCUACCAGUCUGCAGUCCUAAUUAUAUGACAAAAUACUCAUGAAAAAAAAAUUAAAAUUGUGGGGUGCAUAUUUUCCACAUUAAGUUUCGGAUGAUUUGGACUAAUAAUAUCCUAGCAGACGAAAAUGAUAAAUAAUUUUCUGAUUCAUGAAAAUUUUUUCAAAAUACUCAUGAAAAAAAAUUAAAAUUGUGGGGUGCAAAGUGAAAACCUGAAAUCUGUUAACUUUAACGGUCAAUUAAACGGAGAGUGGUCAAAGGGGUGCAAAGUGAGCGCUUUUCAAACUUUAGGGUGCAUACUGCCAAAAAAAAUUGUUUGAGACCAAAUCGAAAAAGCGCCUAAACAUAAGGGAUGCAAAGUGUCAAUCACUCUAUAAUUUAAAGGCAUAUUUUACCUUACAUCAGAGCCUUACAUCACUCUCCUAAAAGUUCACAAAUAUUUCUUUCGAUUACAUAAUACUUCUACUAAACUUCUAAUUUCAAAUCCAACCAAGUCUAGCACUUCGGUUCAUCACACUUUUACCCUUGCCUGAAUAUCCUUCUCCAGAAUUCUUCCCUGUAAGAUUAGUACAUAAAAAGGGAUGAGCUCAUAAAGCUCAAUAAGCAUAUACGUACAUUUCAACUGAGUUUUAUUCACAAAACUUGGUGAACCAAAUCAAUAUUUCAUCAGAGUCAUCAAACAGUUUCACACAUCAAGAUGAGUAUGAGUAUGAGUAUUCAAGCACGAUAAGUUCAUCAGUUCAUCAAGUUGGGAUCCCGGCCAGCUAAACAAUCGGUUUAGCUUUUACUUCCAAUAAGGAAGCAUCAUCAUCAGUUCAUCAAGUAUCAAUGCAAGAAUACUCAUGGCUCAUCAGAAAAUCAUCAACAAAAUGUUCACCCAAAACAUCAUAAAAUAUCACAGUGAAGGGUACGGUAUAUACUUACAGUGCACCACGUUCCAAUUUUAUGUUGAAUAAUCAAGCUCGCCUUACAGAUAAUCAAUCUUCUAUGUCACAAAAUAAUAAAUUUAGAAUCUUAUCUUAAAACAACGAUCUCGUAAAAUCUAUUUAUAAUUUUUUCUCAUUUAGAUCGUUUCUCAUUUAUUCUUCUCUUAUUAUUGAUUUAAAUAAAAUAUUCCUUACUAACUCAUGUUACUAUCCCAAAAGUCUCAUUUCUUCUAAAUUAUCUCUUUUAUUCAAAUAUUAACUAAAUCCACCAAUUUAACUUGCUAUUUAUUAAUCAACCAAAAUAUAAAUAAAUUUAUUUAAUAACUCUCAAACCCAAAAUUAGGCUUCACCAUUAAAUCCGAAAUAUUAUUUACUUAAAUUUUCAUGUUUUACACUUUUACUAAUUCCAUCAUUUAGUCCCUCAAAUUAAUUAAAUACUAAUAUUCAAUAUUCUAGCCAAUCAGAAGACGCCACAUCAUCAUCUUCUCCAAUACACCCAUCCAGUUUCUCUCUCCCCGAAGUCAACCCCCAUGGCCAAACUUUGACCACUCAUAACUCCCUCAUGUUUCAUCCAAAUCAUUUGAUUCAAGAGUCAAUUCCAUAUAUUUUUUCACAAAGAAUCCAAAUAUGUAAUUUAUUUUAUAAUCCGACAUCAAAUUAUUGCCCAGCGAAAUAUUUAUCAGAAUCGAUUUAUAAUUAAAGAGUGAUUGACACUUUGCACCCCUUAUGUUUAGGCGCUUUUUCGAUUUGGUCCCAAACAAUUUUUUUUGGCAAUAUGCACCCUAAAGUUUGAAAAGUGCUUCGCUUUGCACCCUUUUGACCACUCUCCGUUAAUUGACCGUUAAAGUUAACAGUUUUUAUAUUUUCACUUUGCACCCCACAAUUUUAAUUUUUUUUCAUGAGUAUUUUGAAAUAUUUUUUUUCAAAAAAAAAUAUAUUUUCCUCAAGACUCUUAUAUUCUGUAAGAGUCUUAAAAUACGUGUCAAUAAACCUUCUCUGUCCGGUACGUAUAGAGAGGCAAGUGCACAGAAUGCAAGAACUUAUUACAGGAAUUUGAUCAAUCACGUUAGACAAAAUGGAACGCCAAACAGACAGGGAAGACCUGUAGAAACUUACUUGUUUGCCAUGUAUGAUGAAAUUAAACCUCAAGGGAGGGGAAGAGACUGGGAGGCAUUUUGGGCUUUUCAAUCCCACAAAUAAACAGCCAAAAUACCAACUCAGGUUCUGAGUUAUAAUUUUAAAAACGUCAUGUACUAAAAAAUAAGGCCCAAAUGGCCAUUUUGGAGAAAGUAGAAAACAAGAAAUGUAUCAUGUUUGGGAUUAGUUUGUUCGGUAAGAGCAUCUUUAAAAAUGGAUGUCAAGAGAGUGUUAACGCCACUAUUGAUAAUAUGUAUGUUUUUAUCAUCAUAUAGGAGAAAAAAAUUCUUAUAAUGUUAUUCAAUUAUUUUAGUUAUGAAAUUUGUAUUGAGUACGGGUGUCAAGAGUCAAGACACUUAUUAUUGAUAUAUUUAUUCAUCUUUUACACUUGAUACAUGAUCCGAAAUAUGUUAAUUAUAUUUUUCAUUUGUUUUAAAAAUUAUUUUACCUAUUAUCUUAGAAGUUAGUUGCUAGCAAAUAUGUAUCCAUAUUAGCCAUCUAGGAACUCCUCAGAAAAUCUUACUUAUGAGCUGUUUACAUUACCCGUUGUGGUUGUAGCAGAUCUGGAUGAUAAUCAUCCAUCCUGGAACCUUAUUGAUGCAUUGUUACAUACUAUGUAUUCGGUUGUUGAGAGAUCAGGAGGUACAAAUGUCAGAGAUUAUUGUGUCGAGAGUGGAUGGCCUUCUGCAGGUGAUGCAGAUGCAAGUGCACAAAAUGCAGGAACUUAUACUCGGAAUUUGAUCAAUCAUGUCAAAAGAAAUGGGACACCAAAGAGACCAGGCAAACUUAUCGAAGCUUACAUGUUUCAAAACACUCAUGAAAAAAAAUUAAAAUUGUGGGGUGCAAAGUGAAAACCUGAAAUCUGUUAACUUUAACGGUCAAUUAAUGGAGAUUGGUCAAAGGGGUGCAAAGCGAAGCGCUUUUCAAACUUGGGGGUGCAUACUGCCAAAAAAAAUUGUUUGAGACCAAAUCGAAAAAGCGCUUAAACAUAAAGGGUGCAAAGUGUCAAUCACUCAUAAUUAAAUUACUAAAUUAACCUUGUCUUUCCCAUCUCUCCUCUCUCCCUCCUUUACCACCACCUCCACUGCCACCGCGAACGGCGGCUCGCCACCGUCGGCUUCUUCCCCGACGAAACACACACCCGAAACACAUACACACACCUCUUCUCUCCCUCUCUCUCUCCGCACCGCCUCCUCUCUCCUUUCUCUGCUGCUUCUCUUUUCUUCUUUACUGCCGCCGCAGGCUCCGUCGGUGACGCCGACGUGAGCUCCGGUCGGACUCCACCACCAGCCUAUCUCCCUUUCCAACAAUACUCCAAUCCAGACUCAUCUCCAAUUCAACACAAAUUAAAUUUAUACACCCCAAAAACAAGCAAAAAAACCCAAUUAAGCUUAAGCCCCUUUUUACAGUAGCCAAAACCCCCUCCUUUAUUUCAUUUAUGUCUAUAUACAUCUAUACUCCUUAAUAAAUUAAGAGUUUCUUUUGAGUCCCUUAAUUUGUAUUGCAUACAAAUGGGUCCCCUAGCACAAAAUGAAUUCUUUCGUUAAUAACAAAAUAAUAAAAGGUAAGUGAGGGAUUUUUACCUUAUUAAUGGAACCUCUUGUUCGAUUUUUUCCCUUUUCUUUAUUCUAACUCGCCUCCUGCUCUUCUCCACCUUUCUCUCUUGUGUGAAUAAAACUCAAACCAUGUGUCUUUCUUGGUUUUUAUACUAGUAGUACUAAUUAUCAUUAACGGCUAAUGACUCUUUAAUAUAUUAUUAUUUACUAGCUUUUAACCCGUGCGAAGCACGGGCGGGUAUAUAAUUCGUAUUUAUUAUUUAUAAUUUAAAUUUUAAUAUCAUUUUAUUAAUAUUUUAGUAUUAAUGGAUUGAAUUUUAGGUUAAAUUAUAUUAUCAGCUGACUAUAUAUAUAUAUAUAUAUAUAUAUAUAUAUAUAUAUAUAUAUAUAUAUAUUAGUACAUUUAAUUCGAAUUUAGUAAACGUAGAUUUAAAAAUAAAAAAAAUCAGGAAAUUCAAAUCUUUUCCAAACAUAGCCGAUCGUGUAAUACCUUUCAAAGAUUCAGUAAUCUAAUCAAUCGAAUUUCAAACUUAAUUUUGUAAUUUUGGUUUUUUUGACAACAAUAACUUUUAAGAUUAGAGUUAGAAAGAGUUCUGUAAUGAUUCGUGUUUAUAUUGAAAUAAAACACGUUAAAGUUAAAAAGAAUUAUAUGAAGGUUCUUGUUAAAAAAAGAUAUUCAAAAUUGUAUAUUUAUAAUUUUAUUUAUAACAUCAUUAUGAUUUUUUUAAUGAAAUAUUAUAUGAAGAUGUAUUGUUAUGAGUGUUUUUAGUAUUUGAAACUGUUUAACAAUACAAUACUAUUUGUAGACUUGUAGUACCAAAAGGAGAGUACCAAACCAAAAAAUAUAACUAAAACCUUGGAUUACAAAUUAUACCCAUGUUGGCUUAUUAUAGUAUAGUACAGAUUCCUUUUACUUGGGCUCCAAACUUUAUUCUUAGGCUCCAAGUAUAAUAGCUUGAGCUCCACGUUCCGUCACGCUAAUUAAAAUUUUUGUUUCUCUCGAUUCCUAUUUUCUCGUAUCGGUCUUAAUAAACGCGAAAAAUAAAAUUAAAUAUCGUACAAAAUAUUAAAUGAAUAAAUCAUUAAUUAUUUUAUAUUUCAUAAUCAAAUCCCGAAUAUAAUAAUAAUAAUCAUCUCGGCUAAAACGUAAUAUUUAUUCACGAGUUGGUAAAUAAAUAAUUAUGUCUACUAUAAUUCUCAUAUAAACGCAGUUCCCGCGUUAAUAUACAUAUUUAAAUUAACAAUUGGCCCACACAAUAUAACUCACGUGUUUUCUAGUAUUCUCGAAACUAUAAAAUUUAAUUAAUACCUCUCACAUUAUAAUCUAAAUCCGUGACUAAUAAAAUAGUCUUUCUACACAAUAAAUACUUAUAUUAAAUAAAUGCAUUUUUAGGAAAUUGAAAAUUUCACGGAUGUUCCAGUAGCAUAUUGAUAUUUGUUAAUAUUCUUCUUUUCCAUAUGAUCAGCUUCCAUUUUUAAGUAGUAAUAUAAUCAUUGGUGUUGUAUAGCAGGAACCUAUACACAAGAUCUUAAUUGUCCAAUAGAAUAUUUGUCUAGCAUUGCUAGGUUAAUUGAUGGGGUCUUUAGAUUUCUUGUUGGUCGAAUUACAGUUUUCAUAUGCUUUAAACUGUGAACUAUCAGUUUAAAAUGAAUUUUAGUUCUUUUAUUAUUAUUAUUAUUAUUAAAUUUGUGGUUUUGGUUGGAAUCUGUUUAGUAUAUAUAUAUAUAUAUAUAUGUUGAUUUUUUUUAUGUAUUACAUACCUCCACAUAAUAAAAGUUCAAAUAUGAAUUAAUUUUUUGAUUUGUUAUCCAUAAUUGAGUGGCUAAUAUUAUGUCUCAAUGGAUUAUUACAGGUGAUGUGAAGAUAUAUGGGUUCGUGGAAGAAACUUUGGACGAUGAUAUAUAGGACGAGAGGAGGUGUCUGAUGCGGUGGUAGAGUAACAAACCAAAAAGGACAAUGCAAACGCAAAAAAUUCAUUACUUGUUCUAAAAUUAAAAACAAUUUAGUGACAUGUAAUUUUGUAUCCAUCAAAUAGAUGUUUUUAUUAUUAAAAUAGGUUUCUUAUCUAUGACUUUAUCAGUAAAUUGCAUCUAAUGAGUCUAUCAACGGUGAACAUGCAUCUCUAAUGAUAGAAUGAAUCGUCAAAACAUUACAAAUUUAAUAUCUAAACAUUUUAAAUAUCUUUACCCUUUAAAGACCCAGUCUUAGUUUUGUGUGCAUUAUUUUUUACAUAGUAAAUGAAUAUGAAUACAUUCUGCUUAUAAGCUGUUUCUUUGUAAAUGAUUUUCUACAUGAAAAAAUAAUGUUUCUUGAAUGUGCAUAUAUUAUGUAAGCGCUUUACGAUUGUUAGAUUUCUUUGUUAGAUCUGCAAUAAUCAAUCCCGCGCCUUUUAUGGUAAAGACAUAAGUUAAUUAAAUCAACUUCUACGAGAAUGCUCACUAUUAACUAUAGAAAGAGCAAUGAUGAUGUUUUGGAUCCACUAAUCAUAUAGCUAACCAAAAGAAUUUUUUUAAACUGAGAAAAUCAGGUUAAAUAUAGUGAUAACUAUAAAGAUAUGAAGAGCUAUAGGCUUAACCUAUUGGUUAACAUCGUUUUGGUAUACACUUAAUUUUAUUGACUAGAAAUUCUAAAAACUUGAUUGAAUGGGCCAACUAAAUCAUGAUAUAUUCAUAUCACUAAUAAGUCUAUAAGAUAAAGACCAUCUAGGUAGAAGAGGAGCGGGACUUCUUCAAUGAAAAAUUAUAAUGACAAUUCUUUAUAAACUGUAUAGCAUGUAUUAUGUUCCAUGACUAUAUACACAUAUUCAUGAAAAGUACUGAAUGAGCCAGUAUAGAUAUAAUGAUGAAGUUCAUUUACCAAAUAGUCAAAGAAUUCAAGUACAUCACGUCUAUAUCUAUGUGUAAAGUUGGUAUAUAUACUUACUCCAUCAAAGGUUCAAGAAGCAUUUCUUAUCAAUCAUAUACUAUUUCUGGCCACCGGGACUAAUACCAAGUCAAAGCUAUUGGAGCAUCAAUCUCGUUUGUGAGGGAUUUGUGAAAUUUUUUAGUGUAUAUAUAUAUAUAUAUAAUACUAAUGUUCCGAUGUUGACAGUUAGUAGUACUUAAUUAUCUUACAACUUCAGUCUCUUUUUUUAAAUAGAGUCUUGGGCCAUUAAUUUUAUUAAGUCGAAAAUUUUAUAUAUAGUCAAUUCUGUUAUUUGAUCUCCUUAGUUUAAAUCCUUCAUACAUCUCGUUGCUAAUUCAGUUAUAGUAAUAAAGUUAUAAUAAAACCAUGCCAGGGAGAGCAACCACGGUUUCUAAAAUCGUUGCACACCCAUCCAUACAGUAUGUAGGAUAUUAUAAUAAAAAACCGGGCUUGUAGUGAGAAAAAUUACAAAAACUAGUAACUCAAAUAGGGUAACAACCAAAAUACUAGAAUUCCCCUUAUAAUAAUCUUAAGAAUCACUUAAUUACUCAUAACACAUGAAGCAGUCGAAUACUAAUCCAGAGGUAUAAAACUAAAGUUCUCUUUCAAGCUCAAUAGUCUAUUAACUAAAAUUUUUAGCUUACUCUUCUAAGGUGGGGAUCAUGAUCAUUUCUAUGAAUUGAUAUAGAAAGGCUGAAAUAAAAUUUCAAUAAUUAGGUAGACUAAAAAGACUAAAAAAGAAGAAUGAUAUUAAUGAAAUACUAGACUAUCUAUCUUAUUAGGAAUAAAUGAAACAAGUAUUUGAAAAAAUACAUAAUGUAACAUUAAAUAGAUAAAAUAAUGAUUCAGAUUUUAAAUAGUUUAUGAAAAUCCACCAAAUGAAAACGUACAAGUUAAUGUAAAGUUUGGAAGAAACUAAAAACCAAGUAAGAAGAUUUAAUUGUUGCAUUAUAUAAAUGCAAUCUACUUGCAGCUUAAUGUGAUAGUAUGAGUAAAACUUGAAACUUACACUAAAUUAUUAUUUGUUGUAUCAUGUUUUUUUUGAAAGUGAAUUGUUGUAUCAUGUUGAAACUUAAUAUGUUAAAAAUGAUUUACUAAUGUCACUUCAAAUGAUAAUGUGUAUAAGAUGUUGGGUUUGUCUACACUCAUUAUUAGAAGUGAGAAGGAAAAAUCAAGAGGAAAAAAUUUAGAAGAAGGCUCGCAAUAUGUCUCGAGAAAUAAGUAGAAAUUGGAGUUGAUAAUAGACGGAGAAAUAUGUGUGUCAUAUGUUAGUUCCCUUUUGGAUUCUUUUCGAUUUACGAGCACAAUUAAUCCAUUCCCCCUAAAUAUAAUUAUCAAUAUAAAUUUACUAAUUUUAAUAAAUAUUAAAUGAUGAGUUGCGUAAUUGUUAUACAAGUUGAAAGUUGAACCGGUAUAUUAAUAAUAAAAACUUUUUGAAGAUAAAUUGACACAAAAAAUAAACGGUUCAUUAUGGCAUUACGUGAAGAUCAUUGAUCAUAUAUGUGUGUGUUGUGUAUAUAUGUAUGUAUAUACUUAUAUGUGAGAGAUAUGUUAUAUAUUAGAUAGUGAUAUGUGAGGUGUAAACUAGUUAGUGACUAAAAAUUGGUGAGGAACUGAUUUUUAAUUUGUAGGCUAAUUUAGUUUGUAUAGGCCGCAGUCUCGGUGGCCACAGUGGUGGGCCACCGGUCGGGGCUAACAGUAUAUAUGGGUCUGGUCUGGUGGGAGUGGAUGUGGGUGAGUAAGUGACAUUAUAUGAGUGUAGGUGAGGAAGUGGCUAUGGUUAUGAAAGAAAUUUUUGGUUUUUAUUCAAUUUUAUUUUUAUUAUAUAUAUAUAUAUAUAUAUAUAUUAAAUAUUUGAUAUAUUUUUUCAAAAUACAUAUUUAUAAUUUUAACAUAUAAUUAGAUUUAAAAUUUUCAAACAUGUGAUGCCAUAAUUUAUUUUAGAAAAAUCUAUUUUCCUUCAUCUUACAUUUUAAAGAAAAGUUAUUUUGCUUGCUAACUAGAUAAAAUUUGUAUUUAUAUAUAAUAAUACGUUAUUUUCUUAUUGGCAUGUGUAAAUAAUUUUAGUAAGUGUAAAUAAAUGUUUCCUUAUUAAAAAAAAACCUCUAUAAUAUGAAGUAUGAGAGCACAACUUAUAAUAAAGGAAUUAUUUUAUAUAUUUUUUCCAUCUUUGAAAAUACAAUAAAUUAUUCAAAUAAAAUAAUUAUACAAGCAAACUGAUUAAAUGAGGGUAACUGUCAAGAAAUUUUUGAUUAAGAUAAAUGAUAAUGUAUAGAGUUCAAGAAGUAUUUGUUGAAUGUGGAUAUAUUAUAUUGAUCAAUUUGAUAAAAUAUACUAUUCCCCACAUUUUGUUAAAUAUAAUAUAAUUUUGGCUAUAAAAUAAAAGAAGUGUGUGGGUGAUUCUAGAUUAUUCUUAUUAGUACAUGCAUUUGUUUUUAAUUUUGAAUGCAUGUAUUAGUCCAGAUGCAUAAUCUCUAGAAUAUUCUCGUCUUUUGCUUUCUAGCAUUUAAUUAGUCUCUAGAUCUUUCUAUUGAGUCCUAUAUAAAGCCUCUUGUACCAAAUCAUUUGUCAUCAACUAAGGUAAAGCAAUUCAUUAUAUAUAAAUUUCUCUUUUCCUAAAUAUCUGAGUUGUGGGAGUUUUAGUGAAAACCUUUCUUCCUCCAUCCAACACAUUUUUAGCCCACAUCCCGGUUCUAAGUCUAUUCUAGUUUUGUCCUUCUCCUUAGAUUUCCUCGAUUUCUUCACCUCCCCUUGGUUUCUCCGCUAUAAAAUUUUACACACAGAUAUAUAUAUAUAGUCUUAGAAGAAUGGCCAUGAUCACUAAAGCUAGCGUGGCUGUUAAUAAGUGAGAAUUGAAAUGAUUUGCCGAUUAAAUUUAAUUAGCAAUGGUGAUCUAUGUAUGCCUAUGUGUUUAGUUCCCUUGAUAAAAGAUGGUGCCAUGUAAGUUCAAGAGUUCUAAUUUAAUUGUGAGGAUAAUAUUAUGUAACCAUUUUGAUUUGAUGGGUAAUCGUUAUUUAAUCUUCUUUUACUCAUAAAUUAUAGGGUUUUGGCGUUCGAGAUUAUUCUUGGUACAUCUGUAAAAGCCCUAGAAGGAAGCCCGUUACACCGGCAGGCGAAGCUGGUACACUUUUGACGGGGUUAAAGCUCUGGAGGCAUAUGAUGAAGGUGGUGUUAUAAAUAGAAAUUCUGGUCUUCAUGGAAUUGCAUCUUCUAUUGGACGCACUUUAGAAGGGCGAUUUCACGUCAUAUGUCUCGAUGAAUUGAUGUACGUUGGUAUUUGUCCUCUAUUGUUACCCUUCACUACAAUUUUUUACCUGAUGACCCACAAAACAUCGGAUAUGCUGUAAAUCUGGUCUUCUAAAUCCGAAAUUGCCAGGUGGAGAAAUCCCAUGUGGCUUCAUCGGAUAUGCUGUAAAUCUGGUCUUCUAAAUCCGAAAUUGCCAGGUGGAGAAAUCCCAUGUGGCUUCAUGGGAUAUGCUGUAAAUCUGGUCUUUAUAUUGAUUACCAAAACGUAUCCUGGGUCACGACCUCUGGCCAUGGCCUUAGAGAGACUCUCUUCUAUCAUCUAUUCUCCCUCCUGCAAGUUUAUAGAACUAUGAAAAAUAUGUAUAAGGCCCUCCCAUUCAUAAAAGAUGGAGCUGUAUCUUUUGGAUGGUGGAAUUUUGGAUGGUGGAAUAAUGAGUCCUGGUGUUUUUACCUUGGCCAUUGGGUUUUUUUUUGAAUAUCGAUGAUCAAAAUUUCCUCUUAGUAGCAUAGCCAUUGUGACAACUUUAAUUGUACAUUCACAUUUCUUCUGUUGCAACUGUACAAUUUCUUGGAACAAGCUAAGUUUAUAUGAUUAGCAAAGAAUUCUUUGAUAGAAGAGUAUAUUAUUAUUUGUUAGUAUGAUAUAUAUUACUCAUAUAAUAAAUAUGCAAACAAGGAACUUGGAUAUGAAAGUAUUAAUUUAAUAACAAAAUUAAAACGUAAAACUAAAAUUAAAAGAAUAAAAGAGAAGGAAAAUUCUUAUGAAAUGAAUGAGUUUGAUUCUUUUCGUUUCCUUUGUCGGUGAUGUUUUAGUAAAUUGCAUGUGAUAUACAAAUAGCAUAAAACAAAAUUUUGUGCUAAUUUUUUUUUAUUUUUAGACCACUAUUAAAUCUAUCAACAAUAAACGGCCACCAUAUCUGUAUGUAUUUUGUUUCUAAUAUAUAGUAUUAAAAAAUGUAAAUUGGAAUCUUAUAGAAGCUAACAAUAAAAAUUUUUAUUUGGUUUCACGAUCAAAAUAAUAUAAGUAAAAUAAUUCAAGAUCAUUCAUUAACUUUCUCCUAAUUUUAAUUUGUGAAUUUUAUUUGAUUUUCAAGUAUAAACAAACCAUCCCUACAUAUAAUAAUCAUUAUAAAUUUACUAAUUCUAAUAAAUUUUUGAAUGAUAAGUUUGUAAAUUAUAUUGUUAUACUGGUCGAGACUUGAACUAUUAUAUUAAUACUAAAAAGCUUUAGAGAAGACAAAUUGACUCAAAAAUAAUAUAUUAAUUUGUGAAAUUUUUUCUCACUAUAAAAUUUGUUCAUAUUAAUAAGUAAUAAUGUGCUUCCUACAUAUUUAUUAGCUAAUUAAUAAUUUCCAUCAACUAAAAAGCACGGAUGUUCGAAAACAAACCUUGUCUUGGCACUUCACCUCCAAGUUUGUUGUGGGAAAGAUUGAGGAAUUCGAUCAGAUGAAACCCAUCAAAAAUAUUUGGAAUAUCCCCGGAUAUAUUAUUACUUGAGAGAUCUAAAUUAUGAAGACUUUUCAAGGAUUUGAAAGAAGAUGGAAUUCUACCUUGAAAAAGAUUUCCGCCCAUGUACAGCCCCUCCAACAUCACACAAUCACCCAGGGUUGUGGGUAUUUCUCCUGUCAGUCUGUUAUUCCAAACAUCUAGUGUAACCAAUUGUUUCAAGUUUCCGAUGUUGAAUGUUAAGGGUCCUCCUGAGAAUAGAUUUUGGUCCAAAUUAAGGAAUAAACAUUGGGAAGAAAACCCAAUUUCCGCAGGUAUUAUUCCUCCAAGACUAUUCCAAUCAAAUAGAGUGUCUCUAUGGUGGUGGAGAGAUUUACAAUUGAGCUGGGGAGCUUCCCUCUUAAACCAUUCUGACUGAAGUCCAAGUAAGUUAGAAGGGUACAAUUUACCAGAGAAUUGAAAAAGAUCCAGUCUUGGAGCUGCGAAUAGUCUGCCAAUGGAUUCUGACCCAGACCUAGCACUUGAAGAUUAGGAAGGCUAUUCCAGUUGAUUGGUAUAGGCCCAGUAAUACUGUUUGCCGAGAUGUCAAGGUUAACAAGAUUGGACGCAUUAACUAUUGACGGUGGAAGUGGCCCUGAAAACAGGUUACCUUCACCGUAAAAGCCUUGCAACUUCGGAAGGGUGAAGCCUAAAUCUGAUGGAAGUGUCCCUUCUAAUACAUUCUGGUUUAGACCGACAAUAUAGAGGGACGAACUGUUGUAAAGUGAAGGCGGAACCAGACCCCCCAACCCGUUUACUCCUAAAUUAAGAAACUGUAAACUUGUAUGAUGUGCAAGUUCCAAAGGUAUGCCCCCAAAUAAAUUGUUAUAGGCUAGAUCAAGAUAAAGAAGGGUUGAUAUAUUACCUAUUGAAGGUGGAAUUGAGCCUGUGAAAUUAUUGACUCGAGCAUCAAACUGGUCAAGCUUAGACCAAGAGGAAAACUCGGUGGGUAGUUUUCCUUCAAGUUCGUUGUUACUCAUACUAAGUU